This 412-nucleotide ribosomal RNA is filed under the name uncultured bacterium. Its description in RNAcentral is "bacterial SSU rRNA". It matches the Rfam family "Bacterial small subunit ribosomal RNA", at positions 361 to 772 of the family's 1533-position model. The record is from RNAcentral.
AUCUUCCACAAUGGACGAAAGUCUGAUGGAGCAACUCCGCGUGCAGGACGAAGGCCUUCGGGUUGUAAACUGCUUUUGUCAGGGGAUAAAACGCCCAUGCGUGGGAGAUUGAAGGUACCUGACGAAUAAGCCACGGCUAACUACGUGCCAGCAGCCGCGGUAAUACGUAGGUGGCGAGCGUUGUCCGGAUUUAUUGGGUUUAAAGGGUGCGUAGGCGGCCUUGUAAGUCAGUUCUGAAAUAUCCCGGCUUAACCGGGAGGGUGGGAUUGAUACUGCAGGGCUUGAGUAGAGUCGAGGUAGGCGGAAUUGACGGUGUAGCGGUGAAAUGCUUAGAUAUCGUCAAGAACACCGAUAGUGUAGACAGCUUACUAGACUCAAACUGACGCUGAGGCACGAAAGUGUGGGGAUCAAA